UUCUAAGCUUCUAGUGUCAUUUCAAGGUGGUGGAAGGAAAGAAGAGGUCAUUUUGGAGGCUAGAAACUUGAGGAAAAGAGUAGAUCCAAGCUUUUCAGAGGUUGGAGAUUCUUCUUGAGGUAAAAAGCUCAAAACUUGCCUUGUUAUUUAUGUUGUGUGCUUCUUGAACCAAUUUCUAGGGGUUUUGGUCCCAAGAUGGAGACUUUAUGGGAAAAUGGUCUCCAUUGGCCUAGAUCUAUCAUAUUUCAGGACUAUAAGUGUUGUAUGUUCAUAAAAAUGCAAUCUUGGACGUAAAUAUUGAGCCAUGCAUGAGAUCUAGACCUUUGGAGGAGGAAGGAAAGAGGUUUGAGGGUGUAGGGACCUUUACAGCCAUGCAAAGGCUUAAAGGUUCCGACUUUAUGGAAUAAGANUAAGGAGAGUCAGAUCUGGAAGUUGAAGGAGUGUCUUAACCGUUUAAGACCAAAAUCCAUGGAAUGGCUGAAACUGAGACUUACGCUGGGCGUAACUCUCAGUACGCGCAGCGUAAGGGGUUGAGACCCCGAUUGUGGUUCGCCGGCGUACGCCCCGCGUACAGAGAAGGUACGCGCCGCGUACUGCCUUCUGUUGACUUUCGUUGACUUUUAGGGUUUUGGUCAACCUUUGGACUUUUGGUUCAGGGAGGGGUAAAAUGGUCUUUUACCCUUCUGUGGAAAUUAUAGAGUGGAUUUAAUCUAGCCUUUGAGAGCCAUUAUUUAUUAGAGAGUUUUGUUAUGUGUUUAGGCAAGAGCUAAACCAGUGUGAUCGAGUACGAGACUAACCGAGAUACCGAGGUGAGUCUUCUCACUAUACUGUACCUGGAAUGGUACCUAUGUGUGACCGGAAGGUCUUGUAUGCUAUGAGAUGUAUGUGUUAUAUGUUAUGUUAUAUGUAUGUGCUCUGUAUGUUAUGUAUGGUAUGGACCGAAAGGUCAAGAUGAUAAGGACCGGAAGGUCACGAGUACGGACCGGNNNNNNNNNNNNNNNNNNNNNNNNNNNNNNNNNNNNNNNAAAGUUAUGGCCUGGAAAGGCGUAUGUGUGGUAUGUGGUAUUUUGGGGAACUCACUAAGCAUUUAUGAUUACAGUGUUGUGGGAUGUGUUUCAGGUACUAGUGACGACCGCGGGAAGGCAACGGCAUGAUCAGUACACACACGAGGAGUUUUACAUGUUAUGAUCUUGGGAUGUAAUGUUAAGGGUUGUUAUGUGAUACAAUGAUAGUUUUAUAACUAUUGUGAAUAAAAGUAUAUUUUUAAAAUGUGAAAAAUUGUUUCGAAAAUUUAUGUCGUUACAAGUUGGUAUUAGAACCAGGUUUGAGGGAUUCGGGUGCAUCUUUGGAUGAAUCUAAACUCAAACUGAGGAUUUGAGAAAUUUUUCAUAAAAUAAACAAUUUUUCUAAAAGAGUAAAAGGUUUUGAGGAAGACAGAACGGAGCAGUGUGUGUACGAUCAAGCCAGCGCCCGAACGAUGGUUUCCCAAAAUACCCUUACACUAUGUGUUUUGAGAUAUGUUAUGAUAUGAUAUGCAUAUUAGAGUUGGCUAGGUAUUCAUAUUAGGACUAGAGUGGCCUGAUUUUGUGACGCCUUAGCCAAGGAAGGAUUUUUCUGCUAUGUGAUGCUUGAGAGCGAGUAGGUAGCAGUGAGGGGCUGAUAAGAGGUCUACCGAAGGGUAGCCUAUGCCAGUGAGAUAUAGAGUACUUGUGAUCUGGGAUCUAAGGAGGAGGACUUAGGGUGAAUACUGAUGCGGUGUAGACGGUAGUAUAAGGGCCCGUACUACUGAAGACACCGGAGCAGUACGCACUCUAAGUAAUAAUCCUUUGGGUACUAAGGAACAAGUAGGUCGAGUUAUUGAGUGCGAGCAUACUCGAGUGAGUCAUUGAUAUUAUUAUGUUAUAUUUCAUAGACAUCAUGGUUGGGACACGCCACAAACCUGAGGCGAGCGGUGUGAGUGACGAGGAGCUUCGUCAGAUGAUCCACGAUGAGGUGGCGGCGGCGAUCAGGGCCGAGAUUCCGAAGAUGUUUGGGUCUAUCAAGACCACACUGAUUGAGACUUUCGAUGAGCGGUACGCCGCGGUGACUGAGGCUGCUACUGUUGUAGCUACCGCAGUUGUGGCUGCUGCCAGGCCUCAGGGAGGUGACUCGUUGUUGUUUCGGGAGUUCAGCAACACGAAGCCACUCGAGUUUGAUGGGACGCAGGAUUCGAUCGCUAUGAUGAGAUGGAUUGCUGGUAUUGAGGGAUGCUUCUAUACGUGUUCAUGUCUGGAGCAUCUGAGGGUUCGGUUCGCGUUGAACCAGCUUCGCUUGGGAGCGAAGGACUGGUCGAAGUUCGUGACGGCAAGCUUCAUAGUUGCAAAGAUUUCAGAGGUGACCUGGGAGAGGUUCACCACCAUGUUCAGAGAUGAGUAUGUUCCCCCGGUAGAGAGGGAACGGUUGGUUCGGGAGUUCUUGACUCUCAAGUAGGGUACUGAUUCGGUUACUGUGAUUACCAGAAAGUUUCAUGAGAGGGCGAUGUUCUGCCCUGAGCAGGUGUCUACUGAGCAGGCACGUAUGAGCCGGUAUUUGGAUGUUAUGAGGAGAGACAUUUGGGAGUUCAUGUCGAACUCAACAUACCAGACAUUUGCUGAGCUCCAGGAAAAUGCCCGAAAGAAGGAGAUUAAGUUGGAGACUCAGGCAGGGAGGAGGCCGAGUCUCAGAGGAUGGAUCAGUGGCCGACACAGUCUCAACCGGCAGCCAAGCGGACCAAGUCCGCUGAUACGAGGUCUGGAGGCUAGAAGGGCCGCACUUGUGGGAAGUGCGACAAGGGACAUGAUGGGGUAUGUCGAUCGGGUGCUUGCUACAAAUGUGGCAAGGAGGGGUAUAUAGCUAAGGAUUGCCCCCAAGGGAUUUAUGGUUUGCUUUCAUUGCAACCAGACUGGCUAUCGGAAGGCCGAGUGCCCGCAGUUGCAUCAGGGGAUAGCACAGGGAUCUACGCCUGCUGCUAGGGUUACCGAGGUUCGGCCAGUGAAGGCCGAGGCACCGAAGGCUCGUGGGAGAGCUUUCCAGUUGACAGCAGAGGAGUUCGGCGCAGCGCCCGAUGUUGUGGUUGGUAUGUAUUCUUUAUUUAUUGUUGAGUUGAGAUAUUGUGCUUAUAUGAUGAUAUGCGUAGGUACUUUUCUUGUGAAUUAUGUACCUGCUUUGGUGUUAUUUGACUCGGGUGCGAGUCGGUCAUUUGUUUCCUUGGCAUUUAGUCAGCACAUUAGUAUCCGACGAGAGGCGUUAAGUCGACCUUUACGAGUUUCUAUAGCUAACAAGCGAGCGGUGUAUGCUAUGGAUGUGAUUCGAGGAUGUAUACUUGAGAUCUUCGGUGUGGAGUUCCCGAUAGAUCUGGUCCCGAUUGCGAUGGGGGACGUAUGUGUUAUAGUAGGCAUGGAUUGGUUGCGCCGAUUUGGAGUUGUUAUAGACUGUGAGCGUCAGUUGGUGACGAUACGAGACCCUAGUGGGGGAGUACUUACGGUGUACGGCGAGGGUACCCGAUGUGGGUCAGCAUUUUGUUUGGCUGCCAGGGCGAUACAGAGUUUGCAGCAGGCUUGCAGCGGGUUCGUAGCCUAUGUGAUGGACACGCGAGUGGCCGCUGGGAGGCCAAGUUCGAUUGAUGAGGUUCCGAUAGUGUGUGAGUUCCCGGAUGUUUUUCCCGGGGAAUUACCGGGUGUGCCUCCCGAGAGGCAAGUGGAGUUUCGUAUCAAUUUGGUUCUGGGAGCAGCACCUAUCGCCAAGGCGCCUUAUCGCCUUGCGCCGCCAGAGAUGCAUGAGUUAUCCUCGCAGCUUUAGGAGCUGCUGGGGAAGGGGUUUAUUCGACCGAGUAGCUCGCCAUGGGGAGCGCCGAUCCUUUUUUUCAAGAAAAAGGAUGGUUCACACCGGAUGUGUAUUGAUUAUCGGGAGUUGAACAAGUUGACGGUCACGAACCGUUAUCUGUUACCGAGGAUCGAAGAUCUGUUCGAUCAGUUGCAGGGGGCGCCUUGGUUCUCCAAGAUAGACUUGAGGUCGGGUUAUCAUCAGAUGGGGGUUCGGGAUGAAGAUAUCCAGAAGAUGGUGUUCAGAACUCGUUAUCGGCAUUACGAGUUCAUGGUGAUGCCUUUUGGGCUCACCAAUGCACCAACAACGUUCAUGGAUCUCAUGAACAGGGUGUGCAGGCCGAUGCUGGAUCGGUCGGUGAUCGUGUUCAUUAAUGAUAUUUUGGUGUAUUCGAGAUCUAGAGAACAACAUGAGGAGCAUUUGAGGGAGAUCCUUGGAGUUCUGAGAUUAGAGAGGCUUUAUGCCAAAUUCUCCAAGUGCGAGUUCUGGUUACGAGAGGACCUGUUCUUGGGGCAUCUCGUCAACCAAAAUGGGAUUUUUGUUGAUCCAGCCAAGAUUGAGGCGGUCAUGAGGUGGGAGGUGCCGAGAUCGCCCACCGAGAUCAGGAGCUUCCUAGGAUUGGUCGGCUAUUAUCAGAGAUUUUUCUAACAUCGUUGUGCCACUCACCAGGUUGACCCGGAAGGGUGUUGCUUUUUCAUGGGGUCCGGAGCAGCAGACCUCGUCUGAGACACUUCGCCAGAGAUUGUGCGAAGCCCCGGUGCUAGCCCUCCCGGAAGGGAUGGAGGAUUUUGUGGUGUACUGUGACGCAUCGAUAUCGGGGUUGGGCGCAAUACUUAUGAAGAGGGGGCAUGUGAUAGCAUAUGCGUCGAGGCAGCUGAAGCCUCAUGAGACGAGGUAUCCACCCACGAUUUGGAGUUAGGGGCUGUGGUGUUCUCCCUCAAGAUCUGGCGUCACUAUUUGUAUGGGGUUUGGUGUACCAUCUACACAGACCAUAAGAGUUUGAAGUAUUUGAUGGACCAGCCCAAUCUGAAUAUGCGCCAGAAGAUAUGGCUGGAUGUGGUAAAGGAUUAUGAUUGUGAGAUCCUGUACCACCCGGGCAAGGCUAAUGUCGUAGUUGAUGCCUUGAGCCGUAGGGCGGAGAGCGCCCCGAUUCGUGAUACUUGUAUGCGGUUGACAGUGAUGACUCCGGUGUUGGACACUAUUCGGGAGGCCCAAGCGGAGGCUGUGAGACGGGAGAACCGCAAGAGGGAGCGGGUGAUUGGGCAGGUGCCGGAAUUCAUUACCGAUAGUCGCGGGUUGAUGACCCUUCAGGGUCGGAUUUGGGUGUCGUAUGCAGGCGGAGCACGCACCACCUUGAUGGAGGAGGCGCAUAGAUCGAGAAUUUUUAUCCAUCUCGGGGCCACUAAGAUGUAUUUGGAUUUGAAAAAGGAGUAUUGGUGGCCAUGUAUGAAGAGGGAUGUAGCAUGGUUUGUUGAGAGGUGCUUAACCUGUCGCAGGGUUAAAGCCAAGCACCGGUGACCACAUGGCAUGUUGCAGCCACUGGAGGUUCCCCAAUGGAAGUGGGAACAGGUUUCUAUGGAUUUCAUCACCAAGUUUCCAAGAACCACGAGGGGUGUCGACGCAAUUUGGGUGAUCGUUGACCGACUGACGAAGAGCGCUCACUUUCUUGCUAUCAGUGAGAGCUCUUCUUCUGAGAGGCUCGCAGAUUUGUAUGUGAGAGAGGUGGUAUCACGGCAUGGGGUUCCGAUCUCAAUUGUAUCGAAUCGGGAUGUAUGUUUUACUUCCAGGUUCUGGAAGAAGUUCCACGAGGACUUGGGCACGAGGCUGCAUUUCAAUACCGCUUACCACCCACAGACGGACGGACAGAGUGAGAGGACGAUUCAGACGCUCGAAGACAUGCUUUGGGCAUGUGUGUUGGACUUCGGAGGGAGGUGGGACACGUAUCUGCCUUUGGCUGAGUUUUCCUAUAACAACAGCCACCAUUCGAGCAUUGGUAUGCCUCCCUUUGAGCUGUUGUAUGGGAGGAGGUGUCGGACUCCCAUUUGUUGGGGAGAGGUAGGGCAGAGAGUAAUGGGCAGCACUGAGAUAGUGCUUCAGAUGACAGAGCAGAUACAACAGGUUAGACAGAGAUUGUUGACGGCCCAGAGUCGUUAGAAGAGUUACGCGGAUAGGCGUCGAUCAGAGCUCAAGUUUCAGGUUGGGGAUUUUGUUCUUCUGAAAGUAUCCCCUUGGAAAGGAGUGAUUCGUUUCAGAAAGAGGGGCAAGCUGGGGCCCCGGUAUAUUGGGCAAUUUAGGGUGAUCGCGAGUAUGGGCACAGUAGCAUAUCGUUUGGAGCUACCUACGGAUUUGAGCUAGAUUCAUGAUACCUUCCACGUGUCUCAGCUGAGGAAGUGUAUAGUCGAUGAGUCGGCAGUGGUACCGUUGGAGGAUAUCCAGGUGGACGNUAUAUUGAAAGGCCGAUUGCAAUCUUGGAUCGGAAGAUCAAGGUUAUGAGGAACAAGGAAGUUCCCCUGGUUCAGGUCCAGUGGCAGCAUCGAAAGGGGUCCGAGCUGACUUGGGAGCCAGAGUCGUAGAUGCGGGAGCAACAUCCGGAGUGAUUUUCGGCAUGAGACUUCGAGGGCGAAGUCUGGUUCUAGUGGGGGAGAAUUGUAACAUCCCGAAAUUCAGGUAAAGCUAUUUAACCCUUCUCCUUUUCCCAAGUUGUCAAGUUAAGUCUUGUAAGUAUGUGUUGGGCUUGUGAGUACGCUGGACGUACUGAGGAGUACGCUACGCGGACUCACCUGGGUAUGCUGGGCAUACCCAGGUUACGCCGGGCGUAAUGUGUCCAGAUGUAAACCCUAAUUUGGGGCUUGAGCACUAUAAAAGGAAUGUUAUGGCUGCGACCUCAGCCUCCAUUCCAGAGAGAAUAACCCUAAUAGAGAGUCCCCUUUCGUUUUUAGCAAGAGUGUUGGUGUUCUAAGCUUCUAGUGUCAUUUCAAGGUGGUGGAAGGAAAGAAGAGGUCAUUUUGGAGGCUAGAAGCUUGUGGGAAAGAGUAGAUCUGAGCUUUUCAAAGGUUGGAGGUUCUUCCUAAGGUAAAAAGCUCAAACCUUGCCUUGUUAUUUGUGUUAUGUGCUUGUUGGACCAAUUUCUAGGGUUUUUGGUCCCAAGAUGGAGACUUUAUGAGCAAAUGGUCUCUAUUGGCCUAGAUCUAUCAUAUUUCUAGUCUAUAAGUGUUGUAUGCUCAUAAAAAUGCAAACUUGAAUGUAAAGAUGGAGCCAUGCAUGAGAUCUAGACCUUUAGAGGGAAAAAGGAAAGUGUUUUGAGGGGGUAGGGACCUUUACAGCCAUGAAAAGGCUUAAAGGUUCCGACUUUAUGGAAUAAGAGGUUGUAAGAGAGUCAGAUCUGGAAGUUGAAGGACUAUCUUAACCGUUUAAGACCAAAAUCUAAGAAAUGGAUGAACUGAGACUUACGCUAGGCGUAACUCCCAAUACGCACAGCGUAAGGGGUUGAAGCCCCGAUUGUGGUUCGCUGGCGUACGCCCCGCGUAC
RNAcentral lists this long non-coding RNA (7368 nucleotides) under Lactuca sativa (garden lettuce). RNAcentral describes it as "long non-coding RNA (LSAT_LNC000365)". Lineage: Eukaryota; Viridiplantae; Streptophyta; Magnoliopsida; Asterales; Asteraceae. The record is from RNAcentral.